AUGGAGGAGCCUGAGGAAUACAUUGUAGAAGAAGAGGUGCACUAUAUUUCUGAGGAAGUGGAAGCUGAACCAGCUGAAGUGCCUGAGAAGAAAAUCAUCCCCAAACCGAAAAUUCCUGCUAAAAUAGAGGAGCCUCCACCAGCUAAAGGUACAAUUCUGUCUCAAAGAAAUGGGAUGCCAUUUGUCUUCAUAGCUAUGAUAAUGCUUUUAGUUUGAGUAACUGCCUCAGUUUUGCCAACUUAUGUGUAAACAUUUUAACUGACUGUAGUCGUUACUGUUUGUAUAAAUGUGUGAUCUUUCAUAAAGUGAGCUCUUUGCCCCCAAAGAAUGGCACUUCUUCUGCAAUGCAGACUAAUAUUCUUAAACCUCAUAUUUCUAAAGUUCCUGAAGCACCGAAGAAAAUUGUGCCAGAAAAGAAAAUUCCUGCUGCAGUUCCCAAAAAGGAAAAGGUGCCGCCCACCAAAGGUACAUGGGUUUUCCUUUAUUCUUAGGUAAUGCCUGUGUUUAAAUCUUAAAUUGAUACAUUCUUCAAAUUUUUAUGACAUUAACCAGAAAUAAGUGUGCCUGUUCAGUGUUUUUCACACUUGUGUUGUGUCUGACCAUGUUGUGCAAUGUCUUUUAAGUGCCAGAAGAACCAAAGAAGCCAGUUCCUGAAAAAAGGGCUCCUCCCAAAGUGGCUAAGAUAGAAGAGCCUCCUCCCGCCAAAGGUAAUGAAGUCCCCAGCACGGCAACUAGAAACGUGUCUUGUCUUUCGUCUUCUCACUACUGUCCUUGACUCACCUUCUACAUGGAGGUUAUUGGUGUAUGUUGGCCACAGUGAUGUAUUAUUGCCUUGUCUAUGUGGAUUAUGACUCACUUGUUGUGAAGCUUAUUAGUGUGUACCUUGUAAAAAUUAUAUUCUAAAAUCACAAUAGCCUCUGGCUAAUAUACUUAAUAUAACUGAUGUUGAAGCUGAAACUCCACAAUACUUUGGCCACCUGAUGUGAAGAACUGAUGCAUUUGAAAAGACCCUGAUGCUGGGAAAGAUUGAAGGCGGGAGGAGAAGGGGACAACAGAGGAUGAGAUGGCUGGAUGGCAUCUCUAACUCGAUGGACAUGAGUUUGAGUAAACUCUGGGAGUUGGUGAUGGACAGGGAGGCCUGGCGUCCUGUACUCCAUGGGGUCGCUAAGAGUCAGACAUGACUGAGCGACUGAACUGAACUGAAUAUACUUAAUACACUUUUUAAAAUUCCACUUUAAGUAAUACAACUCCAUAAUCCUAAAAUUAUCUUUCAAGUGACUGAGAGGCACAUGCAAAUUACCCAGGAAGAAAAAGUUCAUGUUGCUGUUACUAAAAAAGUGGAACCUCCAAGACCAAAAGGUACAUGGGGCCUUUUGAUACCCGGAAUGUUCUGCUUACCCUCUUCUCUUUACCAAAUACACUAAAAAUGGGUGUUGGUUUUUUGUUGUCAUUGUUAUCAUUGUUUUCUGUUUGAAAUCAUGAAAAUGUCAAGUCUUUUAUGUUUGAGUUGCUAUUACACGACUACCAUUUUGUGGUUUGAAUGAGGAAAACAGUUCUUUAAAGUGAAAUCUGUCUUUAAAGUGCCUGAGGAACCCAAGAGAGCUGUUCCAGAAGAGAAAUUUCCAAAACUCAAGCCUAGAAAGGAGGAGGAACCACCAGCGAAAGGUACACCAACUUUUCCAAAAAUCAAAAUAAGCUUAUAAGUAUUGAAACUCAUCUAGUGGAAUUGAGAUCCUUAGACAAAAUAAUUUAUGUAUUACAAAGUAAUUAAUAUACAUAUGCUACUCCAUAUCAUCUCAAAACUAAACAUUUCUGAUACCAGAAAAUGUACUCAAAUCUCUUUCUUCUCAAAAAAACAAAAACAAAAAAUGAAACCUCACCGAAGCAUAUGUAGAUAAUUUCCCUUAAAAUGUACUUGUCUUUUAAUGUUUU
Molecule: long non-coding RNA, 1932 nt
Organism: Cervus hanglu yarkandensis (Yarkand deer)
Lineage: Eukaryota; Metazoa; Chordata; Mammalia; Artiodactyla; Cervidae
Source: Ensembl